Equus quagga is the source of this 615-nucleotide long non-coding RNA. RefSeq lists it as uncharacterized. The record is from RefSeq and is a predicted model, not a curated record. NCBI's taxonomy places the organism in Eukaryota, Metazoa, Chordata, Mammalia, Perissodactyla, Equidae. The transcript is spliced from 3 exons.
CAAGACUGAGGCACAGAGAGGUCAAGCUGUUGGUAUAAGGUUUUGUAGCUGAUGGUGGCAGAGCUGGGGUUUGAACCGGAUCCAGAGGCUGUCUCCUAAGCCCGACCUAUGAAUGAGAGCAUCUGUUAGCCAUCAACGCUGUCGCUGUUUGUGGGGAGACCGUAGGAGGCCUCAGCCCAGACCUGAGCCCCCAGGGGACAAAGUGUGGAGAGUGAUCCAGGCAGAGGGAACAGCAAGUGCAAAGGCGGGCAGUGAAGGACAGCAAAGAGGCCAGCACGGAGGGAACUGCCAGGCCGUGAGGCUGGAUCACGCCAGGCCUGCAGUCCACAGUGAACCAUGGGAGGGUUUUCAGAUUCCAGGGGGGCCCCAGAGUUGGGGUGCAGAAAAAGGGAGGCUGAUGCCAGCCUCUUGACACAGAAUGUCAGCUCCUUGAGGGCACAGACUCUCAGGCACUUUGAUUCACUGCAGUGUCCCACGUGCCUAGACCAGGACCUGGCACACCACAGGAAGACACUCAGGCUAUAAAAACAUUCUAUACAGCGGUUCCAAAAGCGACACCGACGCCCCCAGCAACCAUAUAUACAACACGGACCCGAUUCUCCGGAGAGCAGGGCG